This 264-nucleotide ribosomal RNA is filed under the name uncultured bacterium. RNAcentral's name for it is "partial 16S ribosomal RNA". It matches the Rfam family "Bacterial small subunit ribosomal RNA", at positions 793 to 1055 of the family's 1533-position model. The record is from RNAcentral.
GUCCACGCCGUAAACGAUGGAUGCUAGCCGUUGGUGGGUUUACCCUUCAGUGGCGCAGCUAACGCAUUAAGCAUCCCGCCUGGGGAGUACGGUCGCAAGAUUAAAACUCAAAGGAAUUGACGGGGGCCCGCACAAGCGGUGGAGCAUGUGGUUCAAUUCGAAGCAACGCGCAGAACCUUACCAGCCCUUGACAUGCCACGACGGUUUCCAGAGAUGGACUCCUCCCAGCAAGGGGCGUGGACACAGGUGCUGCAUGGCUGUCGU